UGUAAGCGUAUACCAAAGUUGUUGCAGUUAAAACGCUCGUAGUCGGACUUUGGCAGUUCCGGAUGUGUGCACGUCGUGUGCGCACUUCGCGGGGAUUGCUUUUGUGGUCCUGCGUAGGAUGAGGCACUUUUAUUAGUGAACGUCCUCACGCAACCACUUUUUACUGUGAGAAAAUCAGAGUGCUCAAAGCAGGCAUUUGCCGUGAAUGUAUUAGCAUGGAAUAAUAGAAUAGGACUUGGUUCUAUUUUGUUGGUUUGUUGGGACUGAGUAAUGAUUAAGAGGGACAGUUGGGGGCAUUUGUAUUUCGGUGCUAGAGGUGAAAUUCUUAGAUUACCGAAAGACAAACUGCUGCGAAAGCGUCUGCCAAGGAUGUUUUCAUUGA
This 382-nucleotide ribosomal RNA is filed under the name uncultured eukaryote. RNAcentral describes it as "partial 18S ribosomal RNA". It matches the Rfam family "Eukaryotic small subunit ribosomal RNA", at positions 592 to 976 of the family's 1831-position model. The record is from RNAcentral.